UGGCUCAGGAUGACGCUAGCGACAGGCCUAACACAUGCAAGUCGAGGGGCAUCGGGGCGAGGAGCAAUCCUUGCCGCCGGCGACCGGCGCACGGGUGAGUAACGCGUAUGCGACCUGCCCGUUGCAGGGGGAUAAUCGGGAGAAAUCCCGUCUAAUACCGCGUAAUGCCGCGGGGCUGCAUGGCCCUGCGGCCAAAGGGAGCGAUUCCGGCAACGGAUGGGCAUGCGUGACAUUAGCUAGUUGGCGGGGCAACGGCCCACCAAGGCGACGAUGUCUAGGGGUUCUGAGAGGAAGGUCCCCCACACUGGUACUGAGACACGGACCAGACUCCUACGGGAGGCAGCAGUGAGGAAUAUUGGUCAAUGGGCGCGAGCCUGAACCAGCCAAGUCGCGUGAGGGAUGACGGCCCUACGGGUUGUAAACCUCUUUUGUCGGGGAGCAAAUUCCGCCACGUGUGGCGGAGUCGAGAGUACCCGAAGAAAAAGCAUCGGCUAACUCCGUGCCAGCAGCCGCGGUAAUACGGAGGAUGCGAGCGUUAUCCGGAUUUAUUGGGUUUAAAGGGUGCGUAGGCGGACUGUCAAGUCAGCGGUAAAAUACGGGGGCUCAACCUCCGCCCGCCGUUGAAACUGACGGUCUUGAGUGGGCGAGAAGUAUGCGGAAUGCGUGGUGUAGCGGUGAAAUGCAUAGAUAUCACGCAGAACUCCGAUUGCGAAGGCAGCAUACCGGCGCCCGACUGACGCUGAAGCACGAAAGCGUGGGUAUCGAACAGGAUUAGAUACCCUGGUAGUCCACGCAGUAAACGAUGAAUACUAGCUGUCCGGGGCGAAUGAGCCCUGGGUGGCACAGCGAAAGCGUUAAGUAUUCCACCUGGGGAGUACGCCGGCAACGGUGAAACUCAAAGGAAUUGACGGGGGCCCGCACAAGCGGAGGAACAUGUGGUUUAAUUCGAUGAUACGCGAGGAACCUUACCCGGGCUCAAACGACACAGGAACGUACCUGAAAGGGUUCGGCUCUACGGAGCCUGUGUCGAGGUGCUGCAUGGUUGUCGUCAGCUCGUGCCGUGAGAUGUCGGCUUAAGUGCCAUAACGAGCGCAACCCCCAUCGACAGUUGCUAACAGGUCAGGCUGAGGACUCUGUCGAGACUGCCGGCGCAAGCUGCGAGGAAGGCGGGGAUGACGUCAAAUCAGCACGGCCCUUACGUCCGGGGCGACACACGUGUUACAAUGGCAGGUACAGCGGGAAGCCACCUGGCGACAGGGAGCGGAACCCGAAAGCCUGUCUCAGUUCGGAUUGGAGUCUGCAACCCGACUCCAUGAAGCUGGAUUCGCUAGUAAUCGCGCAUCAGCCACGGCGCGGUGAAUACGUUCCCGGGCCUUGUACACACCGCCCGUCAAGCCAUGGAAGCCGGGGGUGCCUGAAGUGCGCUGCCGCGAGGAGCGCCCUAGGGUAAAACCGGUGACUGGGGCUAAGUCGUAACAAGGUAACCGU
RNAcentral lists this ribosomal RNA (1488 nucleotides) under uncultured bacterium. Its description in RNAcentral is "16S ribosomal RNA". It matches the Rfam family "Bacterial small subunit ribosomal RNA". The record is from RNAcentral.